UAUCCAUGAUGUGGACACUUCAAGAGCAGCCCAUUGAAUCGCUCCCAUGCUUCGAAAAACUGCUCGUCUUCUCUCUGGAUAAACUCUGAAAUUUUUCUACAAAUAAGUUA
Citrus sinensis (sweet orange) is the source of this 110-nucleotide non-coding RNA. The record is from Rfam. Lineage: Eukaryota; Viridiplantae; Streptophyta; Magnoliopsida; Sapindales; Rutaceae.